RNAcentral lists this ribosomal RNA (412 nucleotides) under uncultured bacterium. RNAcentral's name for it is "bacterial SSU rRNA". It matches the Rfam family "Bacterial small subunit ribosomal RNA", at positions 29 to 431 of the family's 1533-position model. The record is from RNAcentral.
AACGAACGCCGGCGGCACGCCUAACACAUGCAAGUCGCACGAGAAAGUCCCCGCAAGGGGACCGGUAAAGUGGCAGACGGGUGAGUAACGCGUGGGUAACCUACCCUCGAGUGGGGGAUAACCCCGCGAAAGCGGGGCUAAUACCGCAUAACAUCCCGGGCCGCGAGUUUCGGGAUCGAAGGUGGCUCGCAAGAGCUACCGCUCGGGGAGGGGCUCACGUUCCAUCAGCUAGUUGGUGGGGUAACGGCCUACCAAGGCGGUGACGGAUAGCUGGUCUGAGAGGACGACCAGCCACACUGGCACUGAGACACGGGCCAGACUCCUACGGGAGGCAGCAGUGAGGAAUCUUGCGCAAUGGACGAAAGUCUGACGCAGCGAUGCCGCGUGGGGAUGAAGGCCUCGGUCGUAACCC